Molecule: long non-coding RNA, 1203 nt
Organism: Pongo pygmaeus (Bornean orangutan)
Lineage: Eukaryota; Metazoa; Chordata; Mammalia; Primates; Hominidae
Exons: 4
Source: RefSeq, a predicted model, not a curated record
GGAGAAACCCCGUUCUUUUCAUCCUCUGCUAUGGAGAAGGGACGAGGACACGGGUCCUGCAGUGUUGGUGUGGCGAGGCCGGGAAGAAGAGAGAAUGGGCAGCGGGGACUGGCCACGGCGCUGCCAGAAAGGGUCUCACCUGUGGCCAGCAGCGGUGGCUCAUGCCUGUAAUCCCAGCACUUUGAGAGGCCGCGGUGGGCAGAUCACAAGAGCUUCCCCUGUGUCUGCUGUUUCUCAAAAUGAUCCUUAGCCAAAAAGGUGUACUUUGAGGUAGCAUAUUCUGGUCUCCUACAGCUAUUCAACUGAGGGCAGAAUGGUCUCACUCUGUUGGCCCAGGCUGGAAUGCAAUGGUGUGACCUCAGCUCACUGCAACCUCCAUCUCUUGGCUUCAAGCGAUUCUCCUGCCUCAGCCUCCCGAGUAGCUAGGACUACAGGUGUGCGCCACCAUACCCAGCUAAUUUUUGUAUGUUUAGUAGAGAUGGGGUUUCCCCAUGUUGGCCAGGCAGAUCUUGAACUCCUGACCUCAAGUGAUCCACCCACCUCAGCCUCCCAAAGUGCUGGGAUUACAGGUGUGAGCCACAAUGCCUGGCUGAAUAUUAUUAUUAUUAUUAUUGUAUUAUUAUUAUUAUUAUUAUUAUACUUUAGGUUUUAGGGUUCAUGUGCACAAUGUGCAGGUUAGUUACAUAUGUAUACAUGUGCCAUGCUGGUGCACUGUACCCACUAACUCGUCAUCUAGCAUUAGGUAUAUCUCCCAAUGCUAUCCCUCCCCGCUCCCCCCACCCCACAACAGUCCCCAGAGUGUGAUGAUCCCCUUCCUGUGUCCAUGUGUUCUCAUUGUUCAGUUCCCACCUAUGAGUGAGAAUAUGCGGUGUUUGGUUUUUUGUUCUUGCGAUAGUUUACGGAGAAUGAUGAUUUCCAAUUUCAUCCAUGUCCCUACAAAGGACAUGAACUCAUCAUUUUUUAUGGCUGCAUAGUAUUCCAUGGUGUAUAUGUGCCACAUUUUCUUAAUCAUCGUUGGACAUUUGGGUUGGUUCCAAGUCUUUGCUAUUGUGAAUAGUGCCGCAAUAAACAUAUGUGUGCAUGUGUCUUUAUGGUAGCAUGAUUUAUAGUCCUUUGGGUAUAUACCCAAACAAAUUUACAUGAAUAUUAUUUUAAACUUUGGAAAUAUCUUAACAUGCUACAUAAACUAAUGACUUGUUUAGC